RNAcentral lists this ribosomal RNA (468 nucleotides) under uncultured bacterium. Its description in RNAcentral is "partial 16S ribosomal RNA". It matches the Rfam family "Bacterial small subunit ribosomal RNA", at positions 28 to 507 of the family's 1533-position model. The record is from RNAcentral.
GACGAACGCUGGCGGCAUGCUUAACACAUGCAAGUCGAACGGAAAGGCCCUGCUUUUGUGGGGUGCUCGAGUGGCGAACGGGUGAGUAACACGUGAGUAACCUGCCCUUGACUUUGGGAUAACUUCAGGAAACUGGGGCUAAUACCGGAUAGGAGCUCCUGCUGCAUGGUGGGGGUUGGAAAGUUUCGGCGGUUGGGGAUGGACUCGCGGCUUAUCAGCUUGUUGGUGGGGUAGUGGCUUACCAAGGCUUUGACGGGUAGCCGGCCUGAGAGGGUGACCGGCCACAUUGGGACUGAGAUACGGCCCAGACUCCUACGGGAGGCAGCAGUGGGGAAUAUUGCACAAUGGGCGGAAGCCUGAUGCAGCAACGCCGCGUGCGGGAUGACGGCCUUCGGGUUGUAGACCGCUUUCGCCUGUGACGAAGCGUGAGUGACGGUAAUGGGUAAAGAAGCACCGGCUAACUACGUG